GGAGUUUCGUCAAGAGGCGACGUUUUUCUUGCGGCUAAAGCUCAUCGCCGAUCAAGGAUGGCCUCAAUGGGAACUGUGACUGUCUCCAACUUUGUUUCGAGGAGUUCUCUCAUCAGUUAUGGGGCUUCGGGCUCAGAGACUAAAACGAGCCUUUCACAGGUUGGCGUGAAGAACCAAGUAGAGACUCACAAGGGAUUGAAAUCCUUGAACAAUUUGGAUGUGCUGCGGAAGAAAACUCCUGCGAGUGCAAUUUGCAGGACUGCCAGUAGGAAAACUGAUGGACUUGGUGGAACUGCUGGAAAAAUUGUGUGUGAACAAGGGAUGAAUAUAGUGCUUGUGGCUGCUGAAGUUACUCCAUGGAGCAAAACUGGUGGGCUUGGUGAUGUUCUUGGAGGAUUGCCUCCAGCAUUGGCUGCUAGAGGACACCG
RNAcentral lists this unclassified non-coding RNA (428 nucleotides) under Hevea brasiliensis (rubber tree). The record is from RNAcentral. Lineage: Eukaryota; Viridiplantae; Streptophyta; Magnoliopsida; Malpighiales; Euphorbiaceae.